This 424-nucleotide ribosomal RNA is filed under the name uncultured prokaryote. RNAcentral describes it as "bacterial SSU rRNA". It matches the Rfam family "Bacterial small subunit ribosomal RNA", at positions 355 to 796 of the family's 1533-position model. The record is from RNAcentral.
UGGGGAGUAUUGGACAAUGCGGGAAACCGUGAUCCAGCAAUGCCGCGUGAGUGAUGAAGGCCUUAGGGUUGUAAAGCUCUUUUACCAGGGAUGAUAAUGACAGUACCUGGAGAAUAAGCUCCGGCUAACUCCGUGCCAGCAGCCGCGGUAAUACGGAGGGAGCUAGCGUUGUUCGGAAUUACUGGGCGUAAAGCGCGCGUAGGCGGCUAUCCAAGUCAGGGGUGAAAUCCCGGGGCUCAACCCCGGAACUGCCCUUGAAACUAGGUAGCUAGAAUACUGGAGAGUUGAGUUGAAUUCCGAGUGUAGAGGUGAACUUCGUAGAUAUUCGUAAGAACACCAGUGGCGAAGGCGACUCACUGGACAGUUAUUGACGCUGAGGUGCGAAAGCGUGGGGAUCAAACAGGAUUAGAUACCCGCGUAGUCC